UGGGGAAUAUUGCACAAUGGGCGAAAGCCUGAUGCAGCAACGCCGCGUGAGUGAUGAAGGCCUUCGGGUUGUAAAGCUCUGUCUUUUGGGACGAUAAUGACGGUACCAAAGGAGGAAGCCACGGCUAACUACGUGCCAGCAGCCGCGGUAAUACGUAGGUGGCAAGCGUUGUCCGGAUUUACUGGGCGUAAAGGAUGCGUAGGCGGAUUUUUAAGUGAGAUGUGAAAACCCUAAGCUUAACUUGGGGACUGCAUUUCAUACUGGAAAUCUAGAGUGCGGGAGAGGAGAAUGGAAUUCCUAGUGUAGCGGUGAAAUGCGUAGAGAUUAGGAAGAACACCAGUGGCGAAGGCGAUUCUCUGGACCGUAACUGACGCUGAGGCAUGAAAGCGUGGGUAGCAAACAGGAUUAGAUACCCUGGUAGUCCACGCCGUAAACGAUGAGUACUAGGUGUAGGAGGUAUCGACCCCCUUCUGUGCCGCAGUUAACACAAUAAGUACUCCGCCUGGGAAGUACGAUCGCAAGAUUAAAAACUUAAAUGAAUUGACGGGGGUCAUAGCUGUUU
Molecule: ribosomal RNA, 562 nt
Filed under: uncultured bacterium
Lineage: Bacteria
Description: partial 16S ribosomal RNA
Rfam family: Bacterial small subunit ribosomal RNA
Source: RNAcentral